RNAcentral lists this ribosomal RNA (357 nucleotides) under Klebsiella pneumoniae. Its description in RNAcentral is "bacterial SSU rRNA". It matches the Rfam family "Bacterial small subunit ribosomal RNA", at positions 351 to 725 of the family's 1533-position model. The record is from RNAcentral. Lineage: Bacteria; Pseudomonadati; Pseudomonadota; Gammaproteobacteria; Enterobacterales; Enterobacteriaceae.
GCAGUGGGGAAUAUUGCACAAUGGGGGAAACCCUGAUGCAGCGACGCCGCGUGGAGGAAGAAGGUCUUCGGAUUGUAAACUCCUGUUGUUGAGGAAGAUAAUGACGGUACUCAACAAGGAAGUGACGGCUAACUACGUGCCAGCAGCCGCGGUAAAACGUAGGUCACAAGCGUUGUCCGGAAUUACUGGGUGUAAAGGGAGCGCAGGCGGGAAGACAAGUUGGAAGUGAAAUCCAUGGGCUCAACCCAUGAACUGCUUUCAAAACUGUUUUUCUUGAGUAGUGCAGAGGUAGGCGGAAUUCCCGGUGUAGCGGUGGAAUGCGUAGAUAUCGGGAGGAACACCAGUGGCGAAGGCGGC